GCCGAGGUAGCUCAGUUGGUAGAGCACCCGCCUUGUAAGCGGGAGCGCGUGGGUUCGACCCCCAUCCUCGGCU
Molecule: transfer RNA, 73 nt
Filed under: Elusimicrobiota bacterium
Lineage: Bacteria; Pseudomonadati; Elusimicrobiota
Description: Elusimicrobia bacterium (activated sludge metagenome) tRNA-Thr
Rfam family: tRNA
About the family: Transfer RNA (tRNA) molecules are approximately 80 nucleotides in length. Their secondary structure includes four short double-helical elements and three loops (D, anti-codon, and T loops).
Source: RNAcentral